RNAcentral lists this ribosomal RNA (613 nucleotides) under uncultured bacterium. RNAcentral describes it as "bacterial SSU rRNA". It matches the Rfam family "Bacterial small subunit ribosomal RNA", at positions 250 to 855 of the family's 1533-position model. The record is from RNAcentral.
UGGUGGGGUAAAGGCCUACCAUGGCGACGAUCUGUAGCUGGUCUGAGAGGAUGAUCAGCCACACCGGGACUGAGACACGGCCCGGACUCCUACGGGAGGCAGCAGUGGGGAAUAUUGGACAAUGGGGGCAACCCUGAUCCAGCCAUGCCGCGUGUGUGAAGAAGGCCUUUUGGUUGUAAAGCACUUUAAGCAGUGAAGAAGACUCCAUGGUUAAUACCCAUGGACGAUGACAUUAGCUGCAGAAUAAGCACCGGCUAACUCUGUGCCAGCAGCCGCGGUAAUACAGAGGGUGCAAGCGUUAAUCGGAAUUACUGGGCGUAAAGCGAGCGUAGGUGGCUUGAUAAGUCAGAUGUGAAAGCCCCGGGCUUAACCUGGGAACGGCAUCUGAUACUGUUAGGCUAGAGUAGGUGAGAGGAAGGUAGAAUUCCAGGUGUAGCGGUGAAAUGCGUAGAGAUCUGGAGGAAUACCGAUGGCGAAGGCAGCCUUCUGGCAUCAUACUGACACUGAGGUUCGAAAGCGUGGGUAGCAAACAGGAUUAGAUACCCUGGUAGUCCACGCCGUAAACGAUGUCUACUAGUCGUUGGGUCCCUUGAGGACUUAGUGACGCAGCUAA